GAUGAACGCUAGCUACAGGCUUAACACAUGCAAGUCGAGGGGCAGCAUGGUCUUAGCUUGCUAAGGCCGAUGGCGACCGGCGCACGGGUGAGUAACACGUAUCCAACCUGCCGUCUACUCUUGGACAGCCUUCUGAAAGGAAGAUUAAUACAAGAUGGCAUCAUGAGUCCGCAUGUUCACAUGAUUAAAGGUAUUCCGGUAGACGAUGGGGAUGCGUUCCAUUAGAUAGUAGGCGGGGUAACGGCCCACCUAGUCUUCGAUGGAUAGGGGUUCUGAGAGGAAGGUCCCCCACAUUGGAACUGAGACACGGUCCAAACUCCUACGGGAGGCAGCAGUGAGGAAUAUUGGUCAAUGGACGAGAGUCUGAACCAGCCAAGUAGCGUGAAGGAUGAAGGUCCUACGGAUUGUAAAACCUUCUUUUAUAAGGGAAUAAACCCUCCACGUGUGGGAG
RNAcentral lists this ribosomal RNA (451 nucleotides) under uncultured bacterium. RNAcentral's name for it is "bacterial SSU rRNA". It matches the Rfam family "Bacterial small subunit ribosomal RNA", at positions 28 to 467 of the family's 1533-position model. The record is from RNAcentral.